RNAcentral lists this unclassified non-coding RNA (160 nucleotides) under uncultured Inocybe. RNAcentral's name for it is "sequence contains ITS2". Lineage: Eukaryota; Fungi; Basidiomycota; Agaricomycetes; Agaricales; Cortinariaceae. The record is from RNAcentral.
AUGUCUCAACCACACCAUGAGGUGUGGCUUGGAUUUGGGGGUUACAGGCCUAGUCUGCUCCCCUGAAAUGCAUGAGUGGUAACGACCUCUCCAUUAAGAUGUGAUACAUAUCUGCAUCUGGUCGAGGGUUCUGCCGCUAUAUAAGAGUUGGAUUUGAUAA